Molecule: ribosomal RNA, 445 nt
Filed under: uncultured bacterium
Lineage: Bacteria
Description: SSU rRNA
Rfam family: Bacterial small subunit ribosomal RNA
Source: RNAcentral
GGAACGAACGCUGGCGGCAGGCUUAACACAUGCAAGUCGAACGGGCGUAGCAAUACGUCAGUGGCAGACGGGUGAGUAACACGUGGGAACCUUCCUAGGGGUACGGAACAACUCAGGGAAACUUGAGCUAAUACCGUAUACGUCCGUGAGGAGAAAGAUUCAUCGCCCCUAGACGGGCCCGCGUCGGAUUAGGUAGUUGGUGGGGUAACGGCCUACCAAGCCUACGAUCCGUAGCUGAUCUGAGAGGAUGAUCAGCCACACUGGGACUGAGACACGGCCCAGACUCCUACGGGAGGCAGCAGUCGGGAAUUUUGCGCAAUGGACGAAAGUCUGACGCAGCAACGCCGCGUGAGGGAUGAAGGCCUCGGGUUGUAACCUCUUUAUCAGGGAAGAUAAUGACGGUACCUGAUGAAUAGGUCACGGCUAACUACGUGCCAGCAGCCGC